This 497-nucleotide ribosomal RNA is filed under the name uncultured bacterium. RNAcentral's name for it is "partial 16S ribosomal RNA". It matches the Rfam family "Bacterial small subunit ribosomal RNA", at positions 28 to 507 of the family's 1533-position model. The record is from RNAcentral.
GAUGAACGCUGGCGGCGUGCCUAAUACAUGCAAGUCGAGCGAACAGACGAGGAGCUUGCUCCUCUGACGUUAGCGGCGGACGGGUGAGUAACACGUGGAUAACCUACCUAUAAGACUGGGAUAACUUCGGGAAACCGGAGCUAAUACCGGAUAAUAUAUUGAACCGCAUGGUUCAAUAGUGAAAGACGGUUUUGCUGUCACUUAUAGAUGGAUCCGCGCCGCAUUAGCUAGUUGGUAAGGUAACGGCCUACCAAGGCAACGAUGCGUAGCCGACCUGAGAGGGUGAUCGGCCACACUGGAACUGAGACACGGUCCAGACUCCUACGGGAGGCAGCAGUAGGGAAUCUUCCACAAUGGGCGAAAGCCUGACGGAGCAACACCGCGUGAGUGAUGAAGGUCUUCGGAUCGUAAAACUCUGUUAUUAGGGAAGAACAAAUGUGUAAGUAACUAUGCACGUCUUGACGGUACCUAAACAGAAAGCCACGGCUAACUACGUG